GGUCAACGCAAGGAGGCACACAUGGGACUGACCAAUUCAAUUAAUGUCCUGAUCGUCGGUGCAGCGUUUGUUUUCAUCGCGACGAUGCUGUUUAUCUGACACGGGUCUAAACAACUGAAACCCAUGAGUUGGCCAGGUUAGGCCUCUCUCCAGCAGAUACCAUUUCAAAACAAGUAAGAGGCGCAGGACACUUAAGUCCUGCGCCUC
This 207-nucleotide small RNA is filed under the name Agrobacterium albertimagni AOL15. RNAcentral's name for it is "Rhizobiales sRNA Atu_C9". It matches the Rfam family "Rhizobiales sRNA Atu_C9". Lineage: Bacteria; Pseudomonadati; Pseudomonadota; Alphaproteobacteria; Hyphomicrobiales; Rhizobiaceae. The record is from Rfam by way of RNAcentral.